UACGAAGGGUGCAAGCGUUAUUCGGAAUAAUUGGGCGUAAAGGGUUCGUAGGUGGGAUAGAAAGUCAAGUGUGAAAUCUCCGAGCUUAACUUGGAACGUGCAUUUGAAACUCCUAUUCUUGAGUAUUGGAGAGGGUAGUGGAAUUGUUGGUGUAGGAGUGACAUCCGUAGAGAUCAGCAGGAACAUCAGAGGCGAAGGCGACUACCUGGCCGAUUACUGACACUGAGGAACGAAAGCGUGGGGAGCAAACAGG
Molecule: ribosomal RNA, 253 nt
Filed under: uncultured bacterium
Lineage: Bacteria
Description: partial 16S ribosomal RNA
Rfam family: Bacterial small subunit ribosomal RNA
Source: RNAcentral